UCUCUCUGGAAUUGACGAAGAUGAAGUCCAUGCAGCCGCGUCGCAAUUUCUUACGGGAGACGAUGAAGCCAAGCCUCCCCAGUCGCCAAACCCUAGCUCCGGCAAGCCUCCAAGGAGAAUGCGCCUCCGCCUACAGAUCUAACUCGUCAUCCUUUUUGAUUCUCACAGACAGAGAUUCCCAAAUCCUCCCUCUUUCUAUCAAGAAUCGAUUCACGACGACCCCUUUUUAUCCCGAUUCAAUUUCCCCAGGGGGAUGGCUGUGAUGGUGCAGCAGAUGGCUACGAUAGUGGCCUUUUUUGGUGUAUUGUCUUUCAUCUUCGGAAUUAUUGCGGAAAACAAGAAGGUAUUGUGUGUUAUGGGUCAAAUUGGUGAUUGUUAUAUCGGAAAGACUGAUACAUUUGUGCAUGUGUUCUAUUUUUUCCUUGUGUUACUUUGUGCAUCCUGAAAUUUGAUCCAUGAUAUUCUUCGGUUGUUAUUUGUGGAUGGUGGUUUGUUCGUUUAUUAGGGAUUACUAAUUAGUUAUUUUGAGUGUGUUCUAUCUCUGUGAGGUUGGAUUUUGUGUAAUUAUACACCUUUGCCUGAAGCAGGGCUUGUUUCCCAUGGCUUUAUUACAUCUGAGCAGUAAUAAUCUCAGAAAGGUAAUCAAUAUGUUAGUCUUUGCCUUCUAUUUCCUUGUAAUUGAGUAUUUACCUAAAAGCAUAAGCAUCCAUGUUAGGUAUUUUCUUACUGUUAAGUGUUGCACUCCAUUUAUAAUUCCAGAAUCCUGAGAUUGAUUUGCUGACUUUUUUUUUAUGUCAUAUAUUCUACAGACUUUACUGACUUCUUUUUAUGUCAUAUAUCAAACCAUUUAGGGGUUCAAAAAGGUUUUGUGGGAUGGUUCAAAGGAUUUGUGGGCUGGAAACUUUUUGAAAAUGGAAUUGAUCACCUCAUGUCUCAUUCUUUUUCUCCUAAAGAUGGUAUUGAGCAUGCUGGAACCCAAACUGUUGGGAAGAGUAAGGU
Long non-coding RNA from Rosa rugosa (rugosa rose), 999 nucleotides. RefSeq lists it as uncharacterized. The record is from RefSeq and is a predicted model, not a curated record. The transcript has 2 exons. NCBI's taxonomy places the organism in Eukaryota, Viridiplantae, Streptophyta, Magnoliopsida, Rosales, Rosaceae.